CGGGUGAGUAACGCGUGGGUAACCUGCCUCGUACUGGGGGACAACAGUUGGAAACGACUGCUAAUACCGCAUAAGCGCACAGCUUCGCAUGAAGCAGUGUGAAAAACUCCGGUGGUACAAGAUGGACCCGCGUCUGAUUAGCUGGUUGGUGAGGUAACGGCCCACCAAGGCGACGAUCAGUAGCCGGCCUGAGAGGGUGAACGGCCACAUUGGGACUGAGACACGGCCCAA
Molecule: ribosomal RNA, 231 nt
Filed under: uncultured bacterium
Lineage: Bacteria
Description: partial 16S ribosomal RNA
Rfam family: Bacterial small subunit ribosomal RNA
Source: RNAcentral